This 253-nucleotide ribosomal RNA is filed under the name uncultured Parabacteroides sp. RNAcentral describes it as "partial 16S ribosomal RNA". It matches the Rfam family "Bacterial small subunit ribosomal RNA", at positions 524 to 776 of the family's 1533-position model. The record is from RNAcentral. Lineage: Bacteria; Pseudomonadati; Bacteroidota; Bacteroidia; Bacteroidales; Tannerellaceae.
UACGGAGGAUGCGAGCGUUAUCCGGAUUUAUUGGGUUUAAAGGGUGCGUAGGUUGUUUUUUAAGUCAGCGGUGAAAGUUUGUGGCUCAACCAUAAAAUUGCCGUUGAAACUGGAAGACUUGAGUGUGUUUGAGGUAGGCGGAAUGCGUGGUGUAGCGGUGAAAUGCAUAGAUAUCACGCAGAACCCCGAUUGCGAAGGCAGCCUUCCGGCGCCCUACUGACGCUGAGGCACGAAAGUGCGGGGAUCGAACAGG